AUUCCAGGAAAAGUCUCUGGGCCCUUGGGAAGAAUCAAGAAAUUUCCUUUCAAGUGUCUCUCAACCAAAUCCAGAUGGCACAGCUCCCCAUGACCUCCCAAAUACCACAUAAAAAGUCCCAAGCAGUUACUUCGUUAGCUCAAAAUUGUAGUCUGGGGACUGAGAAAGAUGGGCUCUGCUCUAGACCUAAAAGUCAGUGGCCUUGAAGACCACCAUUGUCCUCAAGUCAUCGCCUGAACUCAAUCGUUAAGAAUUUGCUUCUGUUUUACCCAGCACUUCUCUCUCCUUGUGGAGUGGCCAGAAAGAGUUUAUUCUCUAAUAUCCCAGGAGUUUAUUCUCUAAUAUCCCAGAUUAAUAUCUAAUAAUACUGUGAAGUGCCUUCACAGUAAGCAACUACCAUCCCUAGAGACAUCUCCGAAACCAUUCCAAGAAGCAUGUGUCCAUGUGGAUUCACCCUCCUCUGUAUCGUUCAUCUGCUCCUUCUAUGAGAUCAUUGUAUUAUUCUUCUGUCCCUCUAUUAACGAUUGUUCUACCCUGGGCCUGACAGCCCAGAUCCUUAUGUUUGAUUUUGGGAUGAAAUGAGGGAUCAUUUAUCAUUCAGUAGUUAAGAAAACAAGAUUUAUAGAGUCAUAGCACGUGAAGAAUAUUCAAUGAAGAUAUGAACUGAGGACACCGUGAGUUGAUUCCGUUGAGCAUGAUUUAUUCCCUGAUUUGACCACGGUGGUCAGCCAACUGAGCAUGAUUUGACCAUAGUGGUCAGUCAAUUGAGCAUGAUUUGACCAUGGUGGUCAGCCAACUGAGCAAAAAACACCUGGAGCUCUUCAUGACCCAGGUGAGCUCAGAUAACCAGGAAGUAAUGGAGCCAUUAGUCCCCUGAGCCAAUCAAGUAUGAAGGAUAUAUCUACAGGUCUGAAAGGAGGUGGAUCACAUUUUCCGUCAUAGGUCCAAGUCUUUCCAUGGCCUUCUGAAUUAACCAGCUCAUCAUUUCCUAGACCGCAGCAUCAUUCCAACCCAGUCACAUGCCAUCUGAGACAUUGUCUAGCUACCCAAGAAGCACAUGGCUCAGUGGUCAGAGAGAUGGUCUGGGAGCCAGUAUACAAGUGCCAAAUCCUGCCUUUGUCAGCCUUUCUGGGUCAACCCGAGUCAAUUCUCCAAGACUAAGUUACACAGAAGGGCAGAGGUGUAUUGUUGGAAGGAGUUUCUUUAUCUGGAAGUUCCCAAUAAAAAAAUGAAAUUUCAGAAUC
Antechinus flavipes (yellow-footed antechinus) is the source of this 1244-nucleotide long non-coding RNA. RefSeq lists it as uncharacterized. The transcript has 3 exons. The record is from RefSeq and is a predicted model, not a curated record. Lineage: Eukaryota; Metazoa; Chordata; Mammalia; Dasyuromorphia; Dasyuridae.